AGUGAACGCUGGCGGUAGGCCUAACACAUGCAAGUCGAACGGCAGCACAGUAAGAGCUUGCUCUUACGGGUGGCGAGUGGCGGACGGGUGAGGAAUACAUCGGAAUCUACUUUUUCGUGGGGGAUAACGUAGGGAAACUUACGCUAAUACCGCAUACGACCUACGGGUGAAAGCAGGGGAUCUUCGGACCUUGCGCGAUUGAAUGAGCCGAUGUCGGAUUAGCUAGUUGGCGGGGUAAAGGCCCACCAAGGCGACGAUCCGUAGCUGGUCUGAGAGGCUGAUCAGCCACACUGGAACUGAGACACGGUCCAGACUCCUACGGGAGGCAGCAGUGGGGAAUAUUGGACAAUGGGCGCAAGCCUGAUCCAGCCAUACCGCGUGGGUGAAGAAGGCCUUCGGGUUGUAAAGCCCUUUUGUUGGGAAAGAAAAGCAGCAGGUUAAUACCCCGCCGUUCUGACGGUACCCAAAGAAUAAGCACCGGCUAACUUCGUG
This 492-nucleotide ribosomal RNA is filed under the name uncultured bacterium. RNAcentral's name for it is "partial 16S ribosomal RNA". It matches the Rfam family "Bacterial small subunit ribosomal RNA", at positions 29 to 507 of the family's 1533-position model. The record is from RNAcentral.